This 415-nucleotide ribosomal RNA is filed under the name uncultured bacterium. Its description in RNAcentral is "bacterial SSU rRNA". It matches the Rfam family "Bacterial small subunit ribosomal RNA", at positions 64 to 507 of the family's 1533-position model. The record is from RNAcentral.
GAACGCGCUUCGUAAGAGGUGAGUGGCGGACGGGUGAGUAACACGUAGGUGACCUACCUUGAGGUGGGGAAUACCAACGAGAAAUCGUUGACAAUUCCGCAUGGGUUCUCUUCGGAGAGCAAAGCUUCGGUUCAUCCGAGGCGCCACAAGAUGGGCCUGCGUCUGAUUAGCUAGUUGGUAGGGUAAUGGCCUACCAAGGCUACGAUCAGUAGCUGAUCUGAGAGGAUGAUCAGCCACACUGGGAUUGAGAACGGCCCAGACUCCUACGGGAGGCAGCAGUGAGGAAUUUUCCGCAAUGGGGGAAACCCUGACGGAGCAACGCCGCGUGCAGGAGGAAGGUCUACGGAUCGUAAACUGCUUUUACCGGGGAAGAGAACGGACGGUACCCGGUGAAUAAGCCCCGGCUAACUACGUG